AAAAAAACGCUUAGAACCAACUUUUCUCGCUGGAUUUCCCCACGUCCGAGGAGCUCUCACACGGCGAAAUGAAAUUAAUAAUUAAAAUCCAAUUUGCGAAAAAAUGUCACCACCACGAAAAGUUUGUGAGGGAUUAAAGUAAAACUUAUGACUAAUGCGACUAAUUAGAUGCGGUAGAAGCACGCUCGUGAGGGAAACAAUACCAUGAAACAUUACAACUAAUACAGAGGAAGAAAUCAAGUGCGUGUAUAAAUGUGAAACUCGUUACCCCCUCUCCAUAAUGUCGAACUCAAGCGACUAGAAAAAUUCCGAAUCGAAUCGUCCUACAUGAAACUAGCCCAUUUCCUCAAGUGCCGUUUUGGGGGGUGUGCGUAGAUGGUGGGGUAGUUCCAGAUAUAACGGAGGGUGAAAGUGGCAUAUUUUGAACGUCAUCGAAGCUAGUUGUGGCGCCGCGCCGUUGGGGGCGGUAAUCGUGAAGUAGCAUAUUUCCAACCCUCCCACCAGACUAUCGGAACUGGCGUCGUCAGAACGCAGGGAAAGCUCGUUAAGUGAGUAAACAGUGUCUUCCAGCGUGGGAGGAGCAGAACGAGGUGAUAUUGCGUGGGUGGACUUUGGACCUGGGGCUGUGAGUGUGGAGUUCCUGGAAAAUAGUGGAGGAGGAAAACAGGAAGCUAACGGCCAACGGGAAAAUUCUCGCGAUUCUGUCUGGGCCGGGCUGUGGGGGGAGGGUAAUGCCGUUUGAUACGUCGUUGUCGUAAAAUUAAGUAAUUUAUGCGCCACUUUGCAUAAGUGUCGCGGCGAGCGACGCGGAGGUAUUUGGUCGUGGUUUGGGAAGAUCGUUUCUGCGACAUCGAGUUGUCUCGUGGUAUAGGCUGGAACUCAUAA
Long non-coding RNA from Culex pipiens pallens (northern house mosquito), 885 nucleotides. RefSeq lists it as uncharacterized. NCBI's taxonomy places the organism in Eukaryota, Metazoa, Arthropoda, Insecta, Diptera, Culicidae. The record is from RefSeq and is a predicted model, not a curated record. The transcript is spliced from 2 exons.